Nelumbo nucifera (sacred lotus) is the source of this 1862-nucleotide RNA transcript. It is a transcript of the gene named cold-regulated protein 27, with no coding region annotated. NCBI's taxonomy places the organism in Eukaryota, Viridiplantae, Streptophyta, Magnoliopsida, Proteales, Nelumbonaceae. The record is from RefSeq and is a predicted model, not a curated record.
GUUGCAUUAGAUAUUAAUAGCAGUUGCUGACAUGGCGACCUUUUCAUUUUAUGACACGUGUAAAAGCGAAGCCACGUGGAACGUUUUACGUCCCCAACAGCAGCACCGUCCCCAGAUUCCGUCCUCUGUCUCCCUCUCUUGAUUUCAUACUCUUUUUCAUCUCCCUCUUCUCUUCCAAAACUCUCCUCCAACAGAAACACAGCAGAAAUUCAAAUUAUUUACUUAGAGAAGAUUAUUCUUUCUUUCCUUCGUUUUUUCUUAGACUUCGAGGAAAAAUAGAAGGAAAUCUCCGCCAAGCGACACCGACGAGACUGCCUGAUCGAGAAAUGCAGGGUUACAGGAGGGAGAGUAGUACGGGCUCCGAGCUGUCGGAACUAACCGGUCGCAAUUCUAGACAUUUCCUUGGAGAUGUCGAGGUUGAGAUCCCCAUGGAAGAACCCAUCUGGACAGAUGAGAAGCACAGUUUGUACCUCAAUUUCAUGGAAGCAUUGUUUGUUAAAGACCUUUAUGACCACAAGUAUGAUUCCGUAGACUUUCUUGGUUGGUGCCCACAGAAAGAAAACCUACCAGAUCGAAACUCAUCAGGACAAUCAAGUUCCGAAUCCCCUAUAUCCUCUGGCAAGUUCACAGUUCUUCAAGAUGGCUCAUGGCAGACGAAAUUUUUUGAAAGAGCUAAACCUCAAUCAGGGAAUGCAGGUGAGUGUUGUGGCUUUCUGGAAAUUCCACAGAUCCAAUAUUUCAUUUCUGCUGGGAAACACCAAGAAGUUACAUCAGCCAUUUCACAACAAAAUGGUUCACUGCAUACUUCUGCAAUUGGCAUAAGAGGCAACAACACAGCGUCUCAUGGAAAAACAACAAGCUCAAAACAGUUGUCAGUGUGUCAGUUUCACUUGUUUCAUCAGGAAUCUGUUGGGAACAGUACAGAGGUAUCAGAUCAGAACUUCAUAGAUGAAGACCAAGAAGAAAAGCUAAGCAGUCCAUGCAGGACAAAGAGGAUGAAGAGUGGGUUUGAAUAGUUGGCAGCAUUAAGCCGUAGGAAUUGUUGUUCCAUUUGGGGAAUCUUUAUAUCUGUGGAUCCUAAUGAAAGUUGUUCUCCGGUGAAACAACAAAAAGUUCAUGGUGACUGCAAUGGGGAAUCAUGGACAGUUUAUUGUGACCAAAGUCCAGGCUUCCAGGCAUUGGUUAAGGUCAAGAGCUGAAAUGGUAACAUGCAACGUAGUGAUUACGAAGGAUUGAAGUUCUAAGAAAGUGAGAAGUUGGUAUAAGGAUAUGGAAAGGACCAGUCUUUAUUACCAGGUUGAGAGAUACAUAUAGAGAGAUGAAGACAAUGAGGCAUCAAGGAGAUUACUGCGCAGAGUAGUUAGCUUUACGCAAUAAUUUUGUCAUGUCUAAAUUCAGCGAAUUAGGGCUUGCUAUUGAAGAUAUUGGCGGUAGACAAGAGUUGACGACUUUAAACAGGUUAAUAGCUGCAUCGGAAGUAUAUAUAGUAUAUAUAGUAUACGACUUUAAACAGGUUAAUUUUGCAUGAGGAAUACAAGUACUGAAUUCCGGCGAUGUAUUGAAUUGAAACCCUCACAUGCAUAAGGGAAGGCUGUAUACCCUAGUACUCUACUACUACUUUUGUCUAAUCUGCACACCGCAUGCACAUCUUAGCGUGCAUUGGGAACAUCUCCUACUUGUCAUUGGGAGAUGUUUGUUCUGUGGGGUGCAUUCUGUGGGGCACAGUUGUGAAUUCCCUUUUAUCCUCUUCAAACCCAUUAGAGCUGCAAGGCAGAAAAAAAGUAUAAAAAGCAAAAUGAGUACAGAUGAAGUGCCCAAUUUGUUUGAAAUGGAAUCCUAGCGUGAAGGUUAUAUGGGCUUUA